RNAcentral lists this long non-coding RNA (647 nucleotides) under Homo sapiens (human). RNAcentral's name for it is "long non-coding RNA NONHSAT163651.1". The record is from RNAcentral. Lineage: Eukaryota; Metazoa; Chordata; Mammalia; Primates; Hominidae.
GGAGUGCACACCUCUUGGAACCAUGGCCUACCAAGCAUUCAGCACUUUCCUCACAGGACAGAGAUGCCGAGGGCCCCCUUGUUGUCUGUUGAGGCAUCAGGGAAGAUUGUGGAUGAAGGGGGGCCACAGUUCAGUAUGCCACUGCCUGAGCCGGAGCAUCCCAGACCUGCUCCACAGACAGCAGAGCAGAACUCCAGGCCUCAGGAAAGGACUGGUAGACGGGGCUCCUCAGAGGCAAGGCCUUACUGCUGCAACUACGAGAACUGCGGAAAAGCUUAUACCAAACGCUCCUACCUUGUUAGCCACCAGUGCAAGCACAUGGGUGAGAGGCCCUAUUUGUGCAACGGGAAAGGUGUUUAUGGUCUUUCUUCCGUUCUAAUGAGCGUAGAUGACAUACGUGGGUACACACCAGACAUUGACCAUAUAAAUGUGAUCAGUGCAGCCAAGAGUUCAUGAGGUCUGACCAUCUCAAGCAACACCAGAAGACUCAUUGGCCAGGACCCUCAGACCCACGGGCCAACAAUGGACAGCAGGACGGUCCUGUUCCUGGUCCUUAGGUGAAUGAAGGAAGAGGAUUCUAGGCAGAGAACACUGGACCUGGCAACUGCUCAGAGGAGAGGCAGUCUUCAAGUUCUAUAUUCAUUCAG